CCCGACGACAAUAGUGCGGUUGUUCCACCUGAAUCCAUUCCGAACUCAGAAGUGAAAAGCCGUUACGUCGAUGGUAUUGUGGGGCUUCCCCAUGUGAGAGUAGAGCAUCGUCGGGU
This 116-nucleotide ribosomal RNA is filed under the name Actinobacillus equuli subsp. equuli. Lineage: Bacteria; Pseudomonadati; Pseudomonadota; Gammaproteobacteria; Pasteurellales; Pasteurellaceae. RNAcentral also lists the same sequence under 1 other name. The record is from RNAcentral.